GCCUUUACUACACGUUUAUAUUGUUUUUUUUUUAUUAUCUAAUACGUGUAGCAUAAGUAGUAAUCUUUUAGAUCUUUACUCUAGUAAAUUGUUUAGAUAUCCUUGAAAUACCACUAUUAUUAUCAAAAAUAUCUAAUAUUUUCUUUAAUAGACAGUGUAUGGUUGGUAGUUUGACUGGAGCGGUCACUUACUAAAGAGUAAGGAAGUGUACAAAGUCGAAUUAGCCAACGCUUGAGCAAAGAGAAGCCA
Molecule: non-coding RNA, 249 nt
Filed under: Phytophthora infestans T30-4
Lineage: Eukaryota; Oomycota; Peronosporomycetes; Peronosporales; Peronosporaceae
Description: Bacterial large subunit ribosomal RNA
Rfam family: Bacterial large subunit ribosomal RNA
Source: Rfam by way of RNAcentral